RNAcentral lists this ribosomal RNA (408 nucleotides) under uncultured bacterium. RNAcentral describes it as "partial 16S ribosomal RNA". It matches the Rfam family "Bacterial small subunit ribosomal RNA", at positions 28 to 526 of the family's 1533-position model. The record is from RNAcentral.
GACGAACGCUGGCGGCGUGCUUAACACAUGCAAGUCGAACGAAGUGGCGAACGGGUGAGUAAAGCGUAAGCAACCUGCACUUCAGAGGGGGACAACAGUUAGAAACGACGGCUAAUACCGCAUACUGAAGUAGGGGUUUGCGUCGGAUUAGCUAGUUGGAGGGGUAACGGCCCACCAAGUCGAUGAGCAGUAGCCGGUCUGAGCGGAUGAACGGCCACAGUGGGACUGAGACACGGCCCAGACUCCUACGGGAGGCAGCAGUGGGGAAUCUUCCGCAAUGGACGAAAGUCUGAAGGAGCAACUCCGCGUGAGUGAUGCCGGCCUUCGGGUUGUAAAGCUCUGUUAAUCGGGACGCGGUACCGGAAUAGAAAGCCACGGCUAACUACGUGCCAGCGGCCGCGGUAAUAC